Molecule: long non-coding RNA, 862 nt
Organism: Cervus elaphus (red deer)
Lineage: Eukaryota; Metazoa; Chordata; Mammalia; Artiodactyla; Cervidae
Exons: 3
Source: RefSeq, a predicted model, not a curated record
CAAUCGAACUGCAUAUUUCGUGGUUUUUGAACACUGGGGAGGAGAACAGUGCAGCGUUGUGACGGAAGAAGCGAAUGAAGGCUCAGAACUCCAGUAACUGCUGCUGAGCUGUGUGGGAUGUGUAAAGAUUGCUUCUGGACCUGGAGCAAAGAUGUCAGAAAUAAUAACUUACAUGAAAAAGAUGUUUACAUGAGAAAGCUUGACAAGAGCCACGCUUUUAAAGAGUCUAAUUCAUUGCAACUAGGACCACAAGGACACGGAAAGCUGAUGACUCCAAUACUAGAAGUCACUUUCUUGCAGAAGAGUUACAGCACCCGGCCCCGGCUGCUCCUGGUACGCUCCUGGUACCCCCGAGGUGAGGGAAAUCUGAGGAUGAUGCUGACAAUGGGAUGGGAACAGAGGCAAGAAAUUCACAGAGAAACGAAGCCAGAGCCCUGAUGCUGCCCAGUCUCUGCACUUCUCAGUUAGUGCAGCCAAUACAUUCCUGCUACUUUAUGGCAACUGAAAGCACAGUGCAUCAGGAGCCUCCCCAGAUGCAAAGCGCUCAUAACCCAGCUCUUCAGCAGCUUUAUAGACGAGGUUUAAAAAAACCCCACAAACAGAACCCUGGGCUUCCCCGGUAGCUCAGUGGUAAAGCACCAGCCUGCCAGUGUAAGAGACUGGGGUGUGAUCCCUGAUCUGGGAAGACCCCACACGCCGCGGAGCAACUAUGCUUGUGCGCCACGAGUACUGAGCCUGCGCUCUGGAGCCCAGGAGCCACGACUGCGGAGCCCACACCCCUCAGCUGCUGCAGCCUGCGUGCCCAGAGCCCCUGCAGCACGAGAAGCCACCACCGCGAGCAACCCACGCUCCGCACCUAGAG